RNAcentral lists this ribosomal RNA (468 nucleotides) under uncultured bacterium. RNAcentral describes it as "partial 16S ribosomal RNA". It matches the Rfam family "Bacterial small subunit ribosomal RNA", at positions 28 to 507 of the family's 1533-position model. The record is from RNAcentral.
GACGAACGCUGGCGGCGUGCUUAACACAUGCAAGUCGAACGGAAAGGCCCUGCUUUUGUGGGGUGCUCGAGUGGCGAACGGGUGAGUAACACGUGAGUAACCUGCCCUUGACUUUGGGAUAACUUCAGGAAACUGGGGCUAAUACCGGAUAGGAGCUCCUGCUGCAUGGUGGGGGUUGGAAAGUUUCGGCGGUUGGGGAUGGACUCGCGGCUUAUCAGCUUGUUGGUGGGGUAGUGGCUUACCAAGGCUUUGACGGGUAGCCGGCCUGAGAGGGUGACCGGACACAGUGGGACUGAGAUACGGCGGAGACUGCUACGGGUGGCAGCAGUGGGGAGUAUGGCACAAUGGGCGGAAGCCUGAUGCAGCAACGCCGCGUGCGGGAUGACGGCCUUCGGGUUGUAGACCGCUUUCGCCUGUGACGAAGCGUGAGUGACGGUAAUGGGUAAAGAAGCGCCGGCUAACUACGUG